Non-coding RNA from Sphagnurus paluster, 93 nucleotides. Lineage: Eukaryota; Fungi; Basidiomycota; Agaricomycetes; Agaricales; Lyophyllaceae. The record is from the annotation of a GenBank genome assembly.
GGCGCUAUAGCCAAGUGGUUACGGCGACAGAUUCGAAUUCUUCUUCUCAUCUGUUCCUCUUUGAGGGCGCAGGUUCAAAUCCUGCUGGCGUCG